GAGGAAGGCUGGCUACAGGCUUAACACAUGCAAGUCGAGGGGAAACGACGGGGAAGCUUGCUUCCCCGGGCGUCGACCGGCGCACGGGUGAGUAACGCGUAUCCAACCUGCCUCUGACUGAGGGAUAACCCGUCGAAAGUCGGCCUAAUACCUCAUGGCAUCGUCUGCGGGCAUCCAACGACGAUUAAAGAUUUCAUCGGUCAGGGAUGGGGAUGCGUCUGAUUAGCUAGUUGGCGGGGUAACGGCCCACCAAGGCGACGAUCAGUAGGGGUUCUGAGAGGAAGGUCCCCCACAUUGGAACUGAGACACGGUCCAAACUCCUACGGGAGGCAGCAGUGAGGAAUAUUGGUCAAUGGGCGAGAGCCUGAACCAGCCAAGUAGCGUGCAGGAUGACGGCCCUAUGGGUUGUAAACUGCUUUUAUGCGGGGAUAAAGUGAGGGACGUGUCCUUCAUUGCAGGUACCGCAUGAAUAAGGACCGGCUAAUUCCGUG
Molecule: ribosomal RNA, 491 nt
Filed under: uncultured bacterium
Lineage: Bacteria
Description: partial 16S ribosomal RNA
Rfam family: Bacterial small subunit ribosomal RNA
Source: RNAcentral